This 64-nucleotide transfer RNA is filed under the name Ensifer meliloti. RNAcentral's name for it is "Sinorhizobium meliloti partial transfer RNA-Ala (TGC)". It matches the Rfam family "tRNA", at positions 1 to 62 of the family's 71-position model. From Rfam's summary of the family: Transfer RNA (tRNA) molecules are approximately 80 nucleotides in length. Their secondary structure includes four short double-helical elements and three loops (D, anti-codon, and T loops). Lineage: Bacteria; Pseudomonadati; Pseudomonadota; Alphaproteobacteria; Hyphomicrobiales; Rhizobiaceae. The record is from RNAcentral.
GGGGCUGUAGCUCAGCUGGGAGAGCACCUGCUUUGCAAGCAGGGGGUCAGCGGUUCGAUCCCGC